GACGAACGCUGGCGGCGUGCCUAAUACAUGCAAGUUGAGCGCUGAAGGUUGGUACUUGUACCGACUGGAUGAGCAGCGAACGGGUGAGUAACGCGUGGGGAAUCUGCCUUUGAGCGGGGGACAACAUUUGGAAACGAAUGCUAAUACCGCAUAAAAACUUUAAACACAAGUUUUAAGUUUGAAAGAUGCAAUUGCAUCACUCAAAGAUGAUCCCGCGUUGUAUUAGCUAGUUGGUGAGAGAAAGGCUCACCAAGGCGAUGAUACAUAGCCGACCUGAGAGGGUGAUCGGCCACAUUGGGCCUGAGACAAGGCCCAAACUCCUACGGGAGGCAGCAGUAGGGAAUCUUCGACAAUGGACGAAAGUCUGACCGAGCAACGCCGCGUGAGUGAAGAAGGUUUUCGGAUCGUAAAACUCUGUUGGUAGAGAAGAACGUUGGUGAGAGUGGAGAGCUCAUCAAGUGACGGUAACUACCCAGAAAGGGACGGCUAACUACGUGCCAGCAGCCGCGGUAA
Molecule: ribosomal RNA, 513 nt
Filed under: uncultured bacterium
Lineage: Bacteria
Description: partial 16S ribosomal RNA
Rfam family: Bacterial small subunit ribosomal RNA
Source: RNAcentral